This is a long non-coding RNA of Amphimedon queenslandica, 739 nucleotides long. RefSeq lists it as uncharacterized. The record is from RefSeq and is a predicted model, not a curated record. The transcript has 4 exons. NCBI's taxonomy places the organism in Eukaryota, Metazoa, Porifera, Demospongiae, Haplosclerida, Niphatidae.
UCUGCAGACUAGAGGAGUGGCUCGAGUGGUGCACCUAUUCUUGCUUAGGAAUGGAGGCGAAGCGGCCUGACCCAAGAAAGACAAUAAGGAGCCUUGAGUCUGAAACUGAUCAUUUAUUAUCAAGAGCACAGUAUCUUGGUACUGCUAGUCAUGGAGUGUUUGAGAAAGGAAUGGUAAUAAAAAGAUCUAAAAGGAAAAGACGUUUUUUAGCCUGUCUCCUCUCCUGUUGCUGCUGCCGUAAAUGUAUUGGAAUCAAUUAAAUCAAACAAUAACUUUAAUCACUGAUAACUAUAAUAAUAAUAAUAAAUUAUUCUUUAUUUUAUCAAAAAAGGGGCAACACAUUUCAUUGCAAAAGCACCUCUGAAAUGAGGACACCUUUUGAUGUCCCAAUUGGUACAAACCUAUACAAAAGUAUCAACACCUCUGUAUUAAGGACAGGUAGUGUUUUUUCUGUCAUAUCUCAAAUGACACGAAAAAUGUUUAAAAAAGGUUGUCAAUAAAUCCUUAUAAUAAUUACUAAAAUUAAGAGUGGGUGGAGAUGUUUUUGCAUAAUAAUAAUAAUGUGAAGUAAGUUACACGAUAAUAAUAAUAAUAAUAAUAUAAUGUAUAAGAAAUUAUAAGAUGAGAGAGAGAGAGAGAGAAAUUGAAGACUACACCAUUGCUCUACAAAAAGAGUUAAUACACAAUACAGAGAUGGAGAGAGAAAGAAGCCUGCUAUUUUGAUGUAUAUAUAAAUACA